This 400-nucleotide unclassified non-coding RNA is filed under the name uncultured fungus. Its description in RNAcentral is "sequence contains ITS1". The stretch from base 1 to 105 matches the Rfam family "5.8S ribosomal RNA", at positions 50 to 154 of the family's 154-position model. The record is from RNAcentral. Lineage: Eukaryota; Fungi.
AAAAUGCGAUAAGUAGCGUGAAUUGCAGACGCUUUGAACGUUAAAAUUUCGAACGCACAUUGCGCCAUAGGAGUUCUACCCUAUGGCACAUCUGGUUGAGGGUCGUGAUCAAACACAGCCAUGCCUUAGGCUGUAUAAUCCAAAAAAUAGUUGGUGAAUCAUCUGACUAGCACACUUUUGUCUUGUUGCUUGUGAUGUUUUGCCAUUAUGCUCUAGAGGGCUUCUGCACUAAUGAUGAAGCUUCCUUACCACACGGGACGGGCAGCCAAUGCAGACUGCUAGGUGAGCCGGCCGCUGGGUGUUUGAAGAUACAUUCAUCGUCGCCUUUACUCGAUAAGUAGAGGGGGCAACACUCGGUUUUGGCUGGCUUGUCGAUUGGUCUGUUACCGUACGUGCUUGG